UUCUAGUGGCGGAGGGUGAGUACACGUAAGAAUUUACCUUUAGGAGGGGGAUAACAACUGGAAACGGUUGCUAAUACCCCAUAUGCUUUCGAGUGAAAUGGGUUUCCGCCUAAAGAGAAGCUUGCGGCUGAUUAGCUUGUUGGUGAGGUAAUGGCUCACCAAGGCGACGAUCAGUAUCUGGUUUGAGAGGAUGAUCAGACACACUGGAACUGAGACACGGUCCAGACUCCUACGGGAGGCAGCACUGGGGAAUUUUCCGCAAUGGGCGAAAGCCUGACGGAGCAAUACCGCGUGAAGGAUGACGGCCUAUGGGUUGUAAACUUCUUUUUUCAGGGAGGAAUCAAUGACGUGUACCUGAAGAAUAAGCAUCGGCUAACUCCGUGCCAGCAGCCGCGGUAAGACGGAGGAUGCAAGUGUUAUCCGGAAUCACUGGGCGUAAAGCGUCUGUAGGUGGUCAAAUAAGUCAACUGUUAAAUCUUGAGGCUCAACCUCAAAAUCGCAGUCGAAACUAUUAAACUAAAGCAUAGUAUGGGUAAAGGGAAUUUCCAGUGGAGCGGUGAAAUGCGUAUAAAUUGGAAGGAACACCGAUGGCGAAGGCACUUUACUGGGACUAUUACUAUAUCUCAC
Molecule: ribosomal RNA, 627 nt
Filed under: uncultured bacterium
Lineage: Bacteria
Description: bacterial SSU rRNA
Rfam family: Bacterial small subunit ribosomal RNA
Source: RNAcentral